Molecule: small nucleolar RNA, 206 nt
Filed under: Colletotrichum fructicola Nara gc5
Lineage: Eukaryota; Fungi; Ascomycota; Sordariomycetes; Glomerellales; Glomerellaceae
Description: small nucleolar RNA snR32
Source: RNAcentral
ACAAUCUUUUGCACUAUGUAAUUGAUCAGUGCGUUUUGCCAGCAACUACGUUCGCGUAGAUCGGCAUCGACCGUCGUACUUCAUCUCGGCGUCGGUGUUUUCGCUCCUGGCAUAGAAAAAACCAUACACACCCGUUGCUGGGCACCUGGCUUUGAGCAGUCGUCUUGACUAUCAUGAGAAGUUGGGAAUCAGCUGAGGUUACAUAU